This 484-nucleotide ribosomal RNA is filed under the name uncultured eukaryote. RNAcentral describes it as "bacterial SSU rRNA". It matches the Rfam family "Bacterial small subunit ribosomal RNA", at positions 434 to 916 of the family's 1533-position model. The record is from RNAcentral.
UUCUUAGCCGAAGAACACAAGCACGGUAACUAAGGAAUAAGCAUCGGCUGAACCUCCGUGCCAGCAGCCUCGGUAAUACCGGAGUGAUGCAAGCGUUAUUUCGGAAUUUAUUGGGCGUAAAGCGUCUGUAGGUUGCUUUUUAAGUCUACUGUUAAAUGUUAAGGCUUAACCUUAAAAGAGCGGUAUGAAACUAUAGACAAGCUUGAGUUUAGUAGAGUGUAGAGGGAAUUCUCGGUGUAGUUGGUGAAAUGCGUAGUAGGUCGAGAAGAACACCAUGUUGCGAAAGCGCUCUGCUGGGCUAAUACUGACACUGAGAGACGAAAGCUAGGGGUAGCAAAAUAGGAUUAGAUACCGUAGUAGUCCUAUGCUGUAAACGAUGGAUACUAAGUGUUGGACUUGAAAAUAGUUCAGUGCUGUAGCUAACGCGUUAAGUAUCCCGCCUGGGAAGUAUGCUCGCAAGAGUGAAACUCAAAGGUAAUGACGG